Leptonychotes weddellii (Weddell seal) is the source of this 838-nucleotide non-coding RNA. NCBI's taxonomy places the organism in Eukaryota, Metazoa, Chordata, Mammalia, Carnivora, Phocidae. The record is from RefSeq and is a predicted model, not a curated record.
CAGCAGACUGGAAGCAGCAGAUUAGGAAGGCCGAGGGACUGCUUCGGGAAGGCCCACUGACGGCAGAAAAGUGACAGGUUGCAGCCCAGCGACAAGGGAGGCAAGAGAAAGACUAAAAAAAAAAAAGCAGGAACAAAAAGUCAAAAGGCACAGCAGUCUGGGGCAUUUACUAAAAGACAAAGAGCCUCCUCAGGUUCUAACGUUCCCAUGGACCAGCCCUGCUGUCGUGGUCUCUAUGAUUUUGAGCCAGAAAACCAAGGAGAACUAGGAUUUAAAGAAGGGGACAUCAUUACAUUAACCAAUCAAAUAGAUGAAAACUGGUAUGAAGGGUUGCUACACGGGGAAUCUGGAUUCUUCCCCAUUAAUUAUGUUGAAGUGAUCGUGCCUUUACCUCAGUAAAUGUGUAACUCACACUUUGGACAUACUUUCAUAACUGAAAUGAAUUCACACCAGUGUUCUCUCAGUGUGUCUGUGACAUCCUUGUUCUUGGACCAACUUAAUGACUUUUGUUUGUGCUUUCUCUUUGUAAUGUAUUUUGUAUCUGUUUCAUUUGUAUAAAUGAUUUUCCCAUCUUAGCUACAUGAAACUAUAGUUUUCUUUUUUUUUGCUUAUUGUCCUAAAAGUCAUCGGUCAAAUAAAUGAAUGUGCUUCUUGUUGCUAAAAAUAAAUUGCAGUUAUGUCCAUGAAUUGCCCGUUUAUAUCCCUCAGCUGCAACGGAAUGCAAAAUCUGAAACUUAAGAAAUGCUAAAUAUUUUGUUUCCUGACAUUACUGAUGUCAUCUGGUCUUUCCUUAUGUUUUAGCUGACUGUGAAUCGCCCAAUAAAUAUGACACACCGUA